UCCCCCAUCCCCCAGGUUUUCCGGACUGGCUCCAGAUUCUACGUCAAAGAUCCUGGGGUCCCAGAAGGAGUUGCAGAGUGGAACCUCAGGUGCUGCUUGGAGUAGAGACCCUGACCUAGGAGUGCCGGUGCCAGCCUCCCUGGAGCAGCGUAGAGAGAAGUGCGGGUAGCGCUUAGGGGCUCAGGGUUGGGGGUGGGGGGUGAGAGAGGGCGGUUCCGAGAGGGAAUCCAUAUGGAUGGGCUCCCGGGAUACAAAGAGCAGCUGCCUGCUAGCUCCUGGUGUGCGGGCUCCGGGCUAAUUGAAUUAGGGCAAGCAGAGCAGGCUCCCACCCUGCGCGCCACCAGCUCCCCGCCCUCCCUCCCGGUUUCCCUUCCCUCCAGAGUCCAGAAGCUGAAUGAAGAAGGCAGCAGCCGCCUGCGUCCCACGCCCGCGGCAGCGCCCGGAGCCCUGCGGGGCGCCCUCCCCCUCCCAGCGCUCCCUCCGGAGUGGGCCCUUUGUCCCGCUGGCUGCUGGCCGAGUUAGGAGCCCAGCUAUCCCCAACUGGACAGCGACGCCAUGAUUAAUGGGUCAGCCAAGAAGUUGGCACAAGGAGGGGCCUGUGCAACCCCCCUCCUCCCUCCUCCGCCCUCAGCUGCUCGAGCUGUCAAGGGCCCUGGACCCUCCUCCGCCCAAUACUGGACCUGAAAAGACUAAGCAGCCUGUUAUCGAGUUGUGGCUUAAAGUACUAUGUUUUGGGACCUGGGGACCCAUCUGUGUCGGAGGGCAUUCUAGAAGCCCAAGGUUUGAGGUAUGGACAGCUCCCCAACCGCACAAACAGGGUACCCAUCAGCCGGAAGAGUUGGGCAGCUGGAGCCUCAGAGAUUCAGCAAGGGUCCUGUGGGAAUCUCUAAGAAGAGAUUUCUGUCUCAACUCCAAGAAUGACGCUGAAUCCCACAUUCCUGGAGGGGUAAUACCAGCCCAACUGAAAGAGAAAAUGGAAAGAGGAUCUGAGUAGAGGGAUGACCAUACCUGGAAGUGCAAGAGAUGUUUAAGCGUGGGACUUCGCUGGCUUUGAAGACGAGUCUAUCACAGCAUUUAACCGUUCUGAUCACUUUCUCUCAAAGGGGCUUAAAUAACUGGGCUUGCUAAACACAUUAGCUAAGACCAGUGAUCCUGGACAGCCGAGCACCUACUUACACACCCGGGGAUCAGGGUCGAGGUCUAAAAGGAGGGUAAAUGGAGGCGGUUGGCAUGGGCUGGUGAUGGGGGAGGGAGGAUGUCUAGGAAGCAGGCAGGCAGCCAGAUAUCUCCUCUAUGGGUUCGACUCACAUAGAGCGCAUUGAGAUCCAGGAAAGCACCAACAAGAGAGAUCCAAGAGACCCGGGGCGAGACAGCUCCCUACUCUCCUCUACUGGUCAGCAGCUAGGCUCAAGUAGGGGCCACCCAAGGGCUAGUGAAACUGUGGUUCGGCCUCCGCCCCUUUCCACUCUUCGUCUCUGCUCCUCCUUUCUUAGUUGCACCCGCAGUGGUUCCAGCAAGGGCAGCGCGGCCGGUGUGUUUUCUCCAGCUCAUAAAAUCUCUAACACAUUUUUUUUCCAGGACUUUUACUGCUCAGCGGAGAUGAGCAGUGACAUUCCUGUCUCCCCUUUCAUAAAUAUUACAUCUUCCCAAUGCAAUUACAGGAAACGGAGCAGCGGAGUGUUUACUAAAUAAGAUUAUGGAAUAAUGCUAAUGUAUUUCAUGUCGGUGUCUGACACCAGACAAACUCCCUAUUAAUAACCACUCAAUGAGGCGCGCAGGCUCUCACCGGGGGCCGCUGCAGGGGACCUCCGGCUUUCUGCGUGGGAAGUGGCCACUUCUUGGCUAUGCACUAUAGCGGAGCUGGAGGGGCCCGGAGCAGCCUUCAGCCUGGUCCUGUGAGCUCCUGGAAUGCCCUUACCAGAAGCUAGAGCAAAUUACCCCCUCGCCAGUCCUGCGGCUGAAGAUCAAGGGUCUCAUCCAUCCAUCCCUGGGGUCACUCGGCACAUUAUUUGGACUGAGAUAUGCCCACUCCUAUCCCCCUCCCACAUAGGAUCCAGGCCCAGGUUUUCGCCACUGUUACUUGUCUGUAGCCUGAUUUCUUUUAGCCGAAGGCCGAUUUCUCUUCCAUUUGGGAGUAGGGUGUGGGAAGCCGAAGGAGGACAGGGCCACAAAUCACCAAAAAAGAACUGAUAGCUAGGGUUCAAGGUCUACUGUGCCAGCCCCCUGGCCAAAGGUGAAAUAUUAUAGACUGAGGGGUCUUUUCCUGCCUUCAAAUAAAAAGAUGCUCCAUGCACA
Molecule: long non-coding RNA, 2295 nt
Filed under: Phascolarctos cinereus (koala)
Lineage: Eukaryota; Metazoa; Chordata; Mammalia; Diprotodontia; Phascolarctidae
Description: lncRNA (ENSPCIG00000032969.1)
Source: RNAcentral